AUGGACAUGUGCGUGCUGGUUAACAGACCUGACAGAGCCCCGCUUCUGCGUUGCUAUCAUUGCCAUCAUCUUCAAACCGUUCUUCUGGAAUGUGGUGGCCAGAUGGGAGCACAGGACCAGAGGCCUGACCCGUCUGUUUGGAGGUCCAUAUGUGGCCUGUUAUUCCCUCGCUGUGCUCAUCUUGCUCUUCAAUGUUUACCAAAGCCACAGAGAUCUGAAGCAACGUGUGUGAUUUCAUGUCCACACUGUCCUCGUCAGUCGCACUGUUACCUAACCUCAGUCUGAAGAAACCAGGAGUUGGAUCUCUAUAGAGCACAGACCAUUCACGGAGUAGAUAUAUCAGCAGAGGAGCCAGACCUGCAAGCACAAAUAAAGAAGGA
Cyprinus carpio carpio is the source of this 380-nucleotide long non-coding RNA. The record is from Ensembl. NCBI's taxonomy places the organism in Eukaryota, Metazoa, Chordata, Actinopteri, Cypriniformes, Cyprinidae.